CGCCUCUUGAAAAAAUAUAAGAGGUCCAGCCUGCCCAGUGACUUUGUUCAACGGCCGCGGUAUCCUAACCGUGCGAAGGUAGCGUAAUCACUUGUUCUUUAAAUGAGGACUAGUAUGAAUGGCAUCACGAAGGUUAUACUGUCUCCUUUCUCUAAUCAGUGAAACUAAUCUCCCCGUGAAGAAGCGGGGAUAUUAAUAUAAGACGAGAAGACCCUAUGGAGCUUUAAACAAAAUAACAAUUGCUACUAUUCUUAUUUAUUUCAGAAAUUUAAACAUUAUUCUAGCACUAUGAUUAUUAGUUUUAGGUUGGGGUGACCGCGGAGUAAAAAUUAACCUCCGCAUUGAAAGGAUAUUAUCCUAAGCAGAAAGCUACGACUUUAUGCAUCAAUAAAUUGACAUUAAUUGACCCAAUAUUUUGAUCAACGAACCAAGUUACCCUAGGGAUAACAGCGCAAUCCACUUCAAGAGCUCCUAUCGACAAGUGGGUUUACGACCUCGAUGUUGGAUCAGGGUAUCCCGGUGGUGCAGCCGCUACCAAAGGUUCGUUUGUUCAACGAUUAAAACCCU
Molecule: ribosomal RNA, 567 nt
Filed under: Lepidobatrachus laevis (Budgett's frog)
Lineage: Eukaryota; Metazoa; Chordata; Amphibia; Anura; Ceratophryidae
Description: partial 16S ribosomal RNA
Rfam family: Bacterial large subunit ribosomal RNA
Source: RNAcentral